GCUGAAGCCUGGUGCUUGCACCGGGUGGAUGAGUGGCGAACGGGUGAGUAACACGUGAGUAACCUGCCCCUGACUUCGGGAUAAGCCCGGGAAACUGGGUCUAAUACCGGAUACGACUGCCGGACGCAUGUCUGGUGGUGGAAAGUUUUUUCGGUUGGGGAUGGGCUCGCGGCCUAUCAGUUUGUUGGUGAGGUAAUGGCUCACCAAGACGACGACGGGUAGCCGGCCUGAGAGGGCGACCGGCCACACUGGGACUGAGACACGGCCCAGACUCCUACGGGAGGCAGCAGUGGGGAAUAUUGCACAAUGGGGGAAACCCUGAUGCAGCGACGCAGCGUGCGGGAUGACGGCCUUCGGGUUGUAAACCGCUUUCAGCAGGGAAGAAGCGCAAGUGACGGUACCUGCAGAAGAAGUACCGGCUAACUACGUGCCAGCAGCCGCGGUAAUACGUAGGGUACGAGCGUUGUCCGGAAUUAUUGGGCGUAAAGAGCUCGUAGGUGGUUGGUCACGUCUGCUGUGGAAACGCAACGCUUAACGUUGCGCGUGCAGUGGGUACGGGCUGACUAGAGUGCAGUAGGGGAGUCUGGAAUUCCUGGUGUAGCGGUGAAAUGCGCAGAUAUCAGGAGGAACACCGGUGGCGAAGGCGGGACUCUGGGCUGUAACUGACACUGAGGAGCGAAAGCAUGGGGAGCGAACAGGAUUAGAUACCCUGGUAGUCCAUGCCGUAAACGUUGGGCACUAGGUGUGGGGGGCAUUCCACGUUCUCCGCGCCGUAGCUAACGCAUUAAGUGCCCCGCCUGGGGAGUACGGUCGCAAGGCUAAAACUCAAAGGAAUUGACGGGGGCCCGCACAAGCGGCGGAGCAUGCGGAUUAAUUCGAUGCAACGCGAAGAACCUUACCAAGGCUUGACAUACACCAGACCGUCCUGGAAACAGGUCCUCUUCUUUGAAGCUGGUGUACAGGUGGUGGCAUGGUUGUCGUCAGCUCGUGUCGUGAGAAGGUUGGGGUUAAGUCCCGCAACGAGCGCAACCCUCGUUCUAUGUUG
This 1045-nucleotide ribosomal RNA is filed under the name uncultured bacterium. RNAcentral's name for it is "bacterial SSU rRNA". It matches the Rfam family "Bacterial small subunit ribosomal RNA", at positions 66 to 1117 of the family's 1533-position model. The record is from RNAcentral.